CGAGAAAUUUCUAAGUGAAACUUCGGUAGAUUUUAGGGAUGGAAAGCGGCGGACGGGUGAGUAACGCGUAGGCAACCUGCCCCUUGCAGAGGGAUAGCCAUUGGAAACGAUGAUUAAAACCUCAUAAUACCGGAGCAUCACAUGUUGAACCGGUCAAAGAUUUAUCGGCAAGGGAUGGGCCUGCGUCUGAUUAGCUGGUUGGUGGGGUAACGGCCUACCAAGGCGACGAUCAGUAGCCGACCUGAGAGGGUGAUCGGCCACAUUGGAACUGAGACACGGUCCAAACUCCUACGGGAGGCAGCAGUGGGGAAUAUUGCACAAUGGGCGAAAGCCUGAUGCAGCAACGCCGCGUGAAGGAAGAAGGUCUUCGGAUCGUAAACUUCUGUCCUAUGGGAAGAUAGUGACGGUACCAUAGGAGGAAGCCCCGGCUAACUACGUGCCAGCAGCCGCGGUAAUACGUAGGGGGCAAGCGUUAUCCGGAAUUAUUGGGCGUAAAGAGUGCGUAGGUGGUAACUUAAGCGCGGGGUUUAAGGCAAUGGCUUAACCAUUGUUCGCCCUGCGAACUGGGUUACUUGAGUGCAGGAGAGGAAAGCGGAAUUCCUAGUGUAGCGGUGAAAUGCGUAGAUAUUAGGAGGAACACCAGUGGCGAAGGCGGCUUUCUGGACUGAAACUGAC
RNAcentral lists this ribosomal RNA (675 nucleotides) under uncultured Clostridium sp. RNAcentral describes it as "bacterial SSU rRNA". It matches the Rfam family "Bacterial small subunit ribosomal RNA", at positions 47 to 744 of the family's 1533-position model. The record is from RNAcentral. Lineage: Bacteria; Bacillati; Bacillota; Clostridia; Eubacteriales; Clostridiaceae.